ACCAGAACCAAAACAUGCUGAAACUAAUGUAUAACUACGUAGUUGCCAAAGAGGCUAGCGAUCACAAAAACAAAGACAUAGGUAUGAGAUGAUGUUAGUAGCCUUAUGCACAUUAUAAUACAAACAUUCAUGGACACAGGCUACGAAAAGAAUCAAGGCAUCAGUAACGGAAGUUUAACGCUUUUCAAAUUUUACACUUCUGUCCACCAGUUUGGACAAAACUCAAGCGUUGCAAGUUUUUAGACAAUUCAUUCAGGUUGUGGUCGAGGGUCUUCCUGUUUGUGGGUCUGAUCACAGCAUGAGUCCACAGCAGAGGCCACUUCCUUUGCACGUAGCAGAGCUCAGACCGAUGCAGGCCGUCGUACCUAUGAACGUCAGGGCUUCUGAAAAGCAGCCGCUCUGUAGAAAUGACCCAUGGAAAGCUUCACUAACUGAACAACAUACACGCGUUACAAUAUACCCUUACAUUCAUUACGUUUGACAACAAGUCCCCUAACAAUAAUAUGACGAUCAGAAAUGUGAAAACUUACAUAAAGUAUAAGAUGUCAGUCAGUGAUGCGUGUUGUUUAGUGUCUCUAUGUUCACCCAGCAGGACAGGUGUGAUCACAUUCAAUAUCCACUCUGCUGCUCCAGUGGCGUCUCAUUGCAGAUUUCCAGAUGCUAAAUAAACGUGCUGUUAAAAUUAAAGUGUCCUUAACAGACGGGUGUCAGUGUUCAGUGGUGAGUCAGAGUGAGAAGAUGCAGCUUCUGCUGCUGGUUUGUCUUUUGGCGUAUGGAUCAUGGGGAGUUCCAGACAAGCUGGUUGUCACUCAGACUCCUGCCGUCUCUGUGACGGAGUGGGGGGCAGCAAACAUCUCCUGCUGCUGGACGGGGACCUUUGACAGACUCUCAGUGAUCUGGCUGAAAAAUGAAACGCAGUUCGAUUCAGAGAUUGUGCUCUCGAAACCCGAUGUCCAUUGUACAGUGUUGUCCUUCAGGAAGAUCACUAGGAAGCAGUCAGGGACAUACAUCUGCAGCGUGACCCUGGUUAUUCCAUUUUAUGAGAAGGCUGAAGGAAACGGUACGGUCGUCACGGUCUUGGCCAGAGAGGACCCAGAAGACAGCAGAGAUGCUGACUCAGACAGAAGUGGUGAAAUCCCAGAGAGCAGAGGAAAGACUGAUGACUCGUCAGCUGCUGGCAGAGGGAAACGCAUCGUACUGCAAAAAAACAGAAAGGGCACUGAUGACGUGCCCUACGAGAAAACAGCUGCUGGUGAUCCAAGGGAGGACGUGUUGACUUUCAUCAUGAGGUCUCUGCCCAUCCUCGCCCUCUUCCUUACCUUCAUCUACCUCUACUGUUCAUGGAGCAAAGCUCAGUCACACACGCCAGCUGCUCCAGAAAAUGAGCCCACUUCAGGACAAACAUCAGAUCAAGACCAAGAAGAAGAGGAAAGUGCUGCGAUAUCGAAUGUGAAGGGAAAAGAAGAGAACACGAUAUCAGAGGACUGACAGAAAGGCAAACGGUCCUUAUAACCGCCGUUAGCUACUGACUGGACUGAAAUGACAGAAGCAGCACAUCUGAAGGCCCGUUUUGAACUCACCUGCCAAGAUCAUAAGCUAAGAGACAGACUCACCUGAAGACACGUGUGUGUCAAUAAAUGUACAGCAUGGAAGCUCA
This is a long non-coding RNA of Betta splendens (Siamese fighting fish), 1657 nucleotides long. Lineage: Eukaryota; Metazoa; Chordata; Actinopteri; Anabantiformes; Osphronemidae. The record is from Ensembl.